Non-coding RNA from Pangasius djambal, 79 nucleotides. Lineage: Eukaryota; Metazoa; Chordata; Actinopteri; Siluriformes; Pangasiidae. The record is from the annotation of a GenBank genome assembly.
UCCCUGGAGGACUAGUGAUUAUGCCACAUCGCUCUCACCGCUGUCCACCGCGGCCCAGGUUCGAUUCCCAGCCAGGGAA